CUACCUGACACAUCAAAGUAAAAUGUACUUGGGUAAUACGAGUAAAACCUGGCAACCUAUAGCGCGUACUCAGGGGGUGACGUCAGAGGAGAUUUCGCGCUCCUUUCUUCAACGAGACGACGGAACAGCAGAACCUGAACAAGGCCGGCAGCGUUUCACCUGAGGAGAGGAACUUCAUGGACGGGAGCCAUUGGGAAUAUUAAAGGACGUUCACUCUCAGCAAGUUGACAUCAACAGUUGACACAAGAUCAAUGAGGAGUUCAGAAGAAUAACCACAGUUCAUCUGGAGCGAAACUUUUUGUCGAAAUUGGCCAAUUGCACGACCAACUUUCUGGAGAUACUUGGGACAAAGGGCGGAGUUGCAGGAACAAAGACCCAUGCUGGAAUCACCCAGCCUGGUAAAGUUUAGAUAUCUAAUAUUAUAUAAAAUUAUGUUGGGCUCAUAUACACUGAGAAUAGAUGCAUAAUGACGCAUUUGAACACAUUCAAUAUUUUUGUUUGUUUCUCCCACUAUCGUCAUUUUUUUGAGAACACAUCAGACUCGAAGAUGUAAAAGUGAACAUUAGUAAAUUUGAAUUUCAAAGAAGUCAUUGAAGAGGACUAUGCUCAACAUGUCAUGAAGAUCCUUGUCAUCCAUGGAAAUGCAACACAGAAAGGCUUCACUCCUGACGAUGUGUUCGUCGUCAUCGAGGGAAAAGAGGUUCUUGAUGACUGUCAAAGUGUGGCAAAGGCUUGCCUUCUGCUCAUGGGCUUCAUCUGUGUAUCUAAGUGUUGUCAAGCAAUACCCAUCGUUUCAAAUUAAGUGUUUGUUAAAUGACUAAACGUUUGUGUUCUUAAAUUUCUUAUUGGCAGCACUGAUUUAGAAAUGUUUUGUCUG
Long non-coding RNA from Anarrhichthys ocellatus (wolf-eel), 877 nucleotides. RefSeq lists it as uncharacterized. NCBI's taxonomy places the organism in Eukaryota, Metazoa, Chordata, Actinopteri, Perciformes, Anarhichadidae. The transcript has 3 exons. The record is from RefSeq and is a predicted model, not a curated record.